Molecule: transfer RNA, 440 nt
Filed under: Cylindrospermum sp. BTA906
Lineage: Bacteria; Bacillati; Cyanobacteriota; Cyanophyceae; Nostocales; Nostocaceae
Description: partial 16S-23S ribosomal RNA intergenic spacer
Rfam family: tRNA (bases 192-264)
Source: RNAcentral
UAAACCCCAUUCAGAAGCAGAAGUUCAAGUAUGAAUCUGAAACUUUCUCCGUCAUUCUGGUUCGAGUCCAGGAUGGCCCACCUGAACUCUGGUUCGAGUCCAGGAUGGCCCACCUGAAGAAAGUCUGAAGGAACAAGAAUGAAAGGAGAAAAAGUUUCCAGAUUCAUACUUGACACUUCAUGCUUCUGAAUGGGGGUUUAGCUCAGUUGGUAGAGCGCCUGCUUUGCAAGCAGGAUGUCAGCGGUUCGAGUCCGCUAACCUCCACAUAGAGGAAAAAAUUCAGCAACAGGACGAAAGUCAGACUGCUGGGUGAUAGUCCAGCCAGAACCUGAAAACUGCAAAGUAAAUCCUAGCCAGAACCUUGAAAACUGCAAAUUGAAGAGAAAGUUUCAGAUUCUACUUGACACUUCAUGCUUCUGAAUGGGGGUUUACUCAAUUGG